AGAAGAAGAGAAACUCCCAUCAGAUCAUCAUCAUGUUCUCUGUAGCUCUGCUGCUGCUGCUGGUGGCUGCUGCAUCCUUUGUGAAGUGUGAACAACUGAACCAGCCAGCUUCUGUGACUCUGCAGCCAGGUCAACGUCUGACCAUCAGCUGUCAGGUCUCUUAUUCUCUGAGCAGCUAUCCAACAGCUUGGAUCAGACAGCCUGCAGGGAAAGGACUGGAGUGGAUCAUUAGAGGAGGCGUAGGAUAUAGCACAUACUAUAAAGAUUCACUUCGGAACAAGUUCAGUAUCAGUUUUGUCUCGUCCAGUAAAACAGUGACUCUGAAUGGAGAGAAUAUGCAGCCUGAAGACUCUGCUGUGUAUUUCUGUGCCAGAGAGACACACAGUGACACAAACAAGCAGCAGAGCUGUACAAAAACCUGAGUUUGAAAACUUUUGUUGUUAUCCAUCAACCAGAGGAGGCGCUCUCAGAUCAUAAAGGA
This is a non-coding RNA of Poecilia latipinna (sailfin molly), 481 nucleotides long. The record is from the annotation of a RefSeq genome assembly. Lineage: Eukaryota; Metazoa; Chordata; Actinopteri; Cyprinodontiformes; Poeciliidae.